UACGAAGGGGGCUAGCGUUGCUCGGAAUCACUGGGCGUAAAGCGCACGUAGGCGGAUCUUUAAGUCAGGGGUGAAAUCCCAAGGCUCAACCUUGGAACUGCCUUUGAUACUGGGGAUCUCGAGUCCGGAAGAGGUGAGUGGAACUGCGAGUGUAGAGGUGAAAUUCGUAGAUAUCAGGAGGAACACCUAUUGCGAAGGCAGCUCGCUGGGACGUAACUGACGCUGAGACGCGAAAGCGUGGGGAGCAAACAGG
Molecule: ribosomal RNA, 253 nt
Filed under: uncultured bacterium
Lineage: Bacteria
Description: partial 16S ribosomal RNA
Rfam family: Bacterial small subunit ribosomal RNA
Source: RNAcentral